UACGUAGGGUGCGAGCGUUAAUCGGAAUUACUGGGCGUAAAGCGUGCGCAGGCGGUUUUGUAAGCCCGGUGGGAAAUCCCCGGGCUCAACCUGGGAAUGGCAUUUGGGACUGCAAGGCUGGAGUGCGGCAGAGGAGACUGGAAUUCCUGGUGUAGCAGCGAAAUGCGUAGAUAUCAGGAGGAAUACCGAUGGCGAAGGCAGGUCUCUGGGCCGUUACUGACGCUGAGGAGCGAAAGCGUGGGGAGCGAACAGG
This 253-nucleotide ribosomal RNA is filed under the name uncultured bacterium. Its description in RNAcentral is "partial 16S ribosomal RNA". It matches the Rfam family "Bacterial small subunit ribosomal RNA", at positions 524 to 776 of the family's 1533-position model. The record is from RNAcentral.